Molecule: long non-coding RNA, 1062 nt
Organism: Tachyglossus aculeatus (Australian echidna)
Lineage: Eukaryota; Metazoa; Chordata; Mammalia; Monotremata; Tachyglossidae
Exons: 3
Source: RefSeq, a predicted model, not a curated record
UCUUAAUUACAGUUUGUGGUUCCUGGUCAUCUGAUCAGGGAGUUUCACAUCCUUGUGUACAGGCAAACUGCAGAGACAGAGCUAAACAGGGCAGAGUUUCUGAGGCAGGAGACCAUGGAGGGGAAAAUCUUCGAGAGAUGGGGAUUAUCUUCUCCAUGAUGCCCCAAAACCUGGGUGUGGAAGAGACCUGAGAUUUCAGCAAUUUCAAGAAAUCCCAAAGCACAGGUAUUGAAUAUUCGUCACCGUCGUUCGCUUUUCAGAUCGCAGACCCCCCUUCCUGGAGUCUAAAGACUCAGAGCCGGCGCAUCAGGAAAUCGCAGACGCUCCUUCCAGGCGUCUAAAGACCCAAAGCCGGCGCAUCAGGAAAUCGCAGACGCUCCUUCCAGGCGUCUAAAGACUCAAAACCGGCGCAUCAGGAAAUCGCAGAUGCUCCUUCCAGGAGCCUAAAACCGAAAUCCGGUGCAUCAGGAAAUCGCAGAUGCUCUUUCCAGGCGUAUAAAGGACUCAAAGCCGGAGCAUCAGGAAAUCGCAGACGCUCCUUCCAGGCGUCUAAAGACCCAAAUCCGGCACAUCAGGAAAUCGCAGACGCUCCUUCCAAGAGUCUAAAGACCGAAAUCCGGCACAUCAGGAAAUCGCAGACGCUCCUUCCAGGUGCAUAAAGGACUCAAAGCCGGCGCAUCAGGAAAUCGCAGACACUCCUUCCAGGAGUCUAAAGACCCAAAGCCGGCACAUCGGGAAAUCGCAGACGCUGCGUCCAGGAGUCUAAAGACCCAAAGCCGGCGCAUCGGGAAAUCGCAGACGCUCCUUCCAGGCGUCUAAAGACUCAAAGCCGGCGCAUCGGGAAAUCGCAGACGCUCCUUCCAGGAGUCUUAAAGACCCAAAGCCGGCACAUCGGGAAAUCGCAGACGCUCCGUCCAGGAGUCUAAAGACCCAAAGCCGGCGCAUCGGGAAAUCGCAGACGCUCCUUCCAGGCGUCUAAAGACUCAAAGCCGGCGCAUCGGGAAAUCGCAGACGCUCCUUCCAGGCGUCUAAAGACCGAAAUCCGGCGCAUCGGGAAAUCGC